AUGGAACAUGACCACACAUGCACGCUUUGUGGAGUUGAGAAGGAGACCGCUCACCAUGCACUGGUCCGUUGCCCCCAUGCAAUGGCGUUAUGGCAGGCCAUGCGUGAGACCUGGGAACUCCCAACUCAGGACCAGCUGCACGAUGCCGAGCCGGACUGGUUGUUCCGGCUGUUAGAAAAACUCCCAGAUACACAGAAGAUGGCCUCGCUGAUGAUUAUGUGGAGGAUAUGGUAUGCACGAAAGGAGAUCACACAUCACAAGCCCCCGAUUCCGAUUGAAGCUUCGCGCCGAUUUUUAACCAGCUACAUCACUUCCCUCAUCGCGAUUAGGCAACAUCCAGAAGCAGAUUCGGUGAAAGGUAAACAAGUACUUAAUAUUUCUGGGUACAAACCUCCUGCUGUACAUGAAAUAAGGCCGAAGCCGCGUUGGGAACCUCCUGACAGAGAAUAUGCAAAACUGAACAUUGACGGGGCGUUUGCCAAGGCGGAUGGUACUGCCGGUGCCGGGAUGAUACUGCGAGACCAUGAGGGUGCGGUCAUCUUCGCCGCGACACGUGCGCUGUUCAAUUGUGGUGAUGCCCUCGAAGCUGAGAUGGCUGUGAUGAAGGAAGGACUACAGUUGGCCCUUCACUGGACAAACCAAUCACUGCUUGUGGAGACGGACUGUGCUGAAUUGUUGCAAAUGAUCAGUGCGCGAGGCGUGGAUAGGUCUAGGUAUGCAUACUGGAUUAGUGAGAUCAGAAAUAUUCUGUCUCAUGAGAGGAACAUAAGUCUAGCUAAGAUUAGCCGACAUGCAAACAUGGUUAUGUUGGGGAACGUAGUAAUUUCAAAAAAUUUCCUACGUACACGCAAGAUCAUGGUGAUGUACAGCAACGAGAGGGGAGAGUGUGAUCUACGUACCCUUGUAGACCGACAACGAAAGCGUUAG
Molecule: ribosomal RNA, 927 nt
Filed under: Triticum aestivum (bread wheat)
Lineage: Eukaryota; Viridiplantae; Streptophyta; Magnoliopsida; Poales; Poaceae
Description: partial small subunit ribosomal RNA
Source: RNAcentral